RNAcentral lists this ribosomal RNA (750 nucleotides) under uncultured bacterium. Its description in RNAcentral is "bacterial SSU rRNA". It matches the Rfam family "Bacterial small subunit ribosomal RNA", at positions 81 to 823 of the family's 1533-position model. The record is from RNAcentral.
AUACUUUGAUGAGAGUGGCGCACGGGUGCGUAACGCGUAUGCAACCUACCUUUAACAGGGGAAUAGCCCCGAGAAAUCGGGAUUAAUACUCCGUAACAUUGCGGUGUGGCAUCACACUGCACUUAAAGCUGAGGCGGUUAAAGAUGGGCAUGCGUGACAUUAGCUAGUUGGUGAGGUAACGGCUCACCAAGGCAACGAUGUCUAGGGGUCCUGAGAGGUUUAUCCCCCACACUGGAACUGAGACACGGUCCAGACUCCUACGGGAGGCAGCAGUGGGGAAUUUUGCGCAAUGGGGGAAACCCUGACGCAGCAACGCCGCGUGGGUGAUGAAGGCCUUCGGGUCGUAAAGCUCUGUCUGGAGGGAAGAAAUGAUUGGGAGCUAAUACCUCUUGAUCUUGACGGUACCUCUGAAGGAAGCACCGGCUAACUCCGUGCCAGCAGCCGCGGUAAUACGGAGGGUGCAAGCGUUGUUCGGAAUUAUUGGGCGUAAAGCGCGUGUAGGCGGUCUUUUAAGUCUGAUGUGAAAGCCCCGGGCUCAACCUGGGAAGUGCAUUGGAAACUGGCAGACUUGAAUACGGGAGAGGGUAGUGGAAUUCCUAGUGUAGGAGUGAAAUCCGUAGAUAUUAGGAGGAACACCGGUGGCGAAGGCGGCUACCUGGACCGAUAUUGACGCUGAGACGCGAAAGCGUGGGGAGCAAACAGGAUUAGAUACCCUGGUAGUCCACGCCGUAAACGAUGAGUACUAGGUGU